UCUCUUUUGUGGGUGUGUAUGUGUGUCUAUAUGUGUGUAUAUUUAUACAUAUACACACACAAACACACACACACUACAC
This 79-nucleotide microRNA precursor is filed under the name Dasypus novemcinctus (nine-banded armadillo). RNAcentral describes it as "miRNA (ENSDNOG00000028905.1)". The record is from RNAcentral. Lineage: Eukaryota; Metazoa; Chordata; Mammalia; Cingulata; Dasypodidae.